Molecule: ribosomal RNA, 492 nt
Filed under: uncultured bacterium
Lineage: Bacteria
Description: partial 16S ribosomal RNA
Rfam family: Bacterial small subunit ribosomal RNA
Source: RNAcentral
AGUGAACGCUGGCGGUAGGCCUAACACAUGCAAGUCGAACGGCAGCACAGUAAGAGCUUGCUCUUACGGGUGGCGAGUGGCGGACGGGUGAGGAAUACAUCGGAAUCUACUUUUUCGUGGGGGAUAACGUAGGGAAACUUACGCUAAUACCGCAUACGCCCUACGGGUGAAAGCAGGGGAUCUUCGGACCUUGCGCGAUUGAAUGAGCCGAUGUCGGAUUAGCUAGUUGGCGGGGUAAAGGCCCACCAAGGCGACGAUCCGUAGCUGGUCUGAGAGGAUGAUCAGCCACACUGGAACUGAGACACGGUCCAGACUCCUACGGGAGGCAGCAGUGGGGAAUGUUGGACAAUGGGCGCAAGCCUGAUCCAGCCAUACCGCGUGGGUGAAGAAGGCCUUCGGGUUGUAAAGCCCUUUUGUUGGGAAAGAAAAGCAGCAGGUUAAUACCCCGCUGUUCUGACGGUACCCAAAGAAUAAGCACCGGCUAACUUCGUG